RNAcentral lists this transfer RNA (90 nucleotides) under Patescibacteria group bacterium. RNAcentral's name for it is "tRNA-Ser". It matches the Rfam family "tRNA". From Rfam's summary of the family: Transfer RNA (tRNA) molecules are approximately 80 nucleotides in length. Their secondary structure includes four short double-helical elements and three loops (D, anti-codon, and T loops). The record is from RNAcentral.
GGAGAGGUGUCCGAGUGGUCGAAGGAGCACGCCUGGAAAGUGUGUAUAGCCGCAAGGUUAUCGAGGGUUCGAAUCCCUCUCUCUCCGCCA